Molecule: ribosomal RNA, 251 nt
Filed under: uncultured prokaryote
Description: partial 16S rRNA
Rfam family: Bacterial small subunit ribosomal RNA
Source: RNAcentral
ACGUAGGUGGCAAGCGUUGUCCGGAAUUACUGGGCGUAAAGGGCGUGUAGGCGGAUUUUUAAGUCAGGUGUGAAAUCUUUGGGCUCAACCCAGAGAUUGCAUUUGAUACUGGAAGUCUUGAGUGCAGGAGAGGACAGUGGAAUUCCUAGUGUAGCGGUGAAAUGCGUAGAUAUUAGGAAGAACACCAGUGGCGAAGGCGGCUGUCUGGACUGGAACUGACGCUGAGGCGCGAAAGCGUGGGGAGCAAACAG